AUAUUUACUACACAAAAAUAAAAAAAUUUUAUAAUUUUAAAAACAUUUUUGAAUCUUGUAAAGGAGAUUAAAAAUUGAUUUAUUAUAUGUCACUGAGUACUGAAAAGGAAGAAAAUAAGUUUAAUAUCAGCAGUUUUACACACGUACCUUUCGCAUCAUGGUUUAGCUAGAAUCACCUUAAAAUUAAAUAUCUCGAAGCUUAAUGAGCUAUUCUAUGCCUUGUAUUAGCCUUAAACAGCCAAGUGUUGCAAAACUCUCUUAAGAGCAUAAAAUAGAAAUUAGAUUUUAUUCGUAUUGAGCGAUAGCUAGUUUUUCCAGAAAAGUAUAGGAGUACUUAAGUCGUUGUUGCUAAAGUAUAAAUCAAUAUAUUUUAACAGGCGGCUUAGAAAAUCUUUAAGGAUAAGCUUAAAGAUUUAUUGUAGUAAAAUAUUCAACUAUAUGUUAUAUCUAGGCUUGAAAUUAGCCACGAUUGAAAAAUUUGUUAUAAAUUAUUUUUUAUUUCAAAACAUAAUAGGAUUAUUUAAUCAGAUGGGAAAAAUGUUUUUAUUUAAAAAAACAUGUAUGUAUGCUAAAAUGAGUAUUGCUUUAAGUACUAUUUUAAUAAAUAAAAUUAAAUUAAUGAAAUUCAUAUCUUUAAAAAAAUUUGUAAAAGGAACUCGGCAAAUACUCGUUCUGCCUGUUUAUCAAAAACAUCGCUCGUUGAUUUUAUAUUAUAACGAGUCGAACCUGCCCAGUGAUUUUAUUCAACGGCCGCAGUACUCUGACUGUGCAAAGGUAGCAUAAUCAUUUGCCUUAUAAUUAAAGGCUAGUAUGAAUGGUUUGACAAGAAUGACGCUGUCUCUUUCAAAUUUUAUAGAAUUUGGUUUUUAGGUGAGGAAACCUAAAUAAAAUUAAAAGACAAGAAGACCCUAUCGAGCUUAAAAUAAUUUUUUUGAUACCGAGUAAUACUAACUUCAUUAAAAAAUUUUGGUUGGGGCGACUAAGGAACACAAAAAGCUUCCUAUAACACAUACUGACAUUUAAGUUUUGAUCCAGAAUAUCUGAUUAACAGAAUUAGUUACCGUAGGGAUAACAGCAUAAUCUUUUUUGAGAGUUCUUAUCGAAAAAAAGGUUUGUGACCUCGAUGUUGGACUAGGAUACCCAGAAAGGUGCAGAAGCCUUCGAUGGUUGGUCUGUUCGACCACUAAUAUCCUACGUGAUCUGAGUUCA
RNAcentral lists this ribosomal RNA (1209 nucleotides) under Hydrobia sp. Its description in RNAcentral is "partial 16S ribosomal RNA". The stretch from base 599 to 1209 matches the Rfam family "Archaeal large subunit ribosomal RNA", at positions 1423 to 2682 of the family's 2987-position model. Lineage: Eukaryota; Metazoa; Mollusca; Gastropoda; Littorinimorpha; Hydrobiidae. The record is from RNAcentral.